Scylla paramamosain (green mud crab) is the source of this 1211-nucleotide long non-coding RNA. RefSeq lists it as uncharacterized. The transcript is spliced from 3 exons. The record is from RefSeq and is a predicted model, not a curated record. Lineage: Eukaryota; Metazoa; Arthropoda; Malacostraca; Decapoda; Portunidae.
CUCAGGUUUCGGAGGGGGGGGGAGGGGUGCGGCAGGACCAGACAGACUUGGAGUGGUUUGUGUGGAUCCCCAUCAUGCGUGCCUAUGCCCCCUUCGACCUGCUUCAUGUCAUGCUGGCUCAGACUGUCCGCAGGUUCUGGCCUCAGAUACGCAUGCACACACGCACGCACGCACGCACGCACGCACGCAAAGUGUUAGUUAUUACGUGUGGAAAGAGUAUUGCGUGUUCUACUACUACUUCUACUACUACUAUUACUACUACUGCCGUGAAGACAUCAACCCGACCUGAGCCGACUGCGGGAGUGACAAAUGGUUCCCUGGACGCCGUGUGUCACCGGAUUGCAGGCGAGCGUCAGGCGGACUAUGAGUCGGGACGCUGCCAAGUCUGUUGACCAGAACCUGACCAGGAAAAUUUAAGAAGCGUGGCCUUGACCUUGCUCAGCAGUUGUGCCCUCACCUGACCUACGUUAUGUUGCUCUGCGUUAAUUGUUUCUGGCAAAGUGAGUUAGUGCAGCCGUGCCUUCAGUGUGUCACCAUAAUUUGCAAGCAGUCGAUUUCCUGCUCUACUUUACCAGGUGGUAUUUGUUUUGAAAGAGAGUUGAGAAGUGGAUUAUGUCAUGCUCUCAACCUAAAUUUUAUACUUCUUUAUUCAUAACUGCAUCAACAGACCACCUGGGAAAAGUAAUGCUUUGUGCCUCUGUUUGUUUUCAUUUCACGACACGGUAGGAAGGGAGAGCACGUCCACAGAGCAAAGAAUUCAAGAGAUACCUCUUGGAAUUCUGGGAAAAUAGGAUGUGUAUUUCUGGUCGUCCUUCAGAGAAGCUAAUGUUAUGCAUGCGUAUGCCAUUUAAACUUAGCGAAGAAAUUUAAGAAAUACUUCUGGAAAAUGUUUUAACGAACUCCUAUCGUUAAAUCUUCAUAAGAAACGUUUGCACCAUAAAGUAACGAAAUUUUAAGCCUCACAUCCAGCAUCAGAGACCAUAAGAGCCACAGCAAGGUGUAUUCGAGGAACAGUGUUAAGAUGUGCAUAAACAAAGUAAAAUAUACGUAGUGCUGACAGGCAUCACAGAAAAGAAAACUUGUAAUAACAUUCCAAAGGAAAAAAAACUUUUAACCAGUACAGUGUUGCGCUUUGUCAGAGAUAGUGGUCUUGUCAGGCUGCAUUUCUUUUUCCUAAGCUUUUUAUUUACCCCGUAAAAUGACAGAAAAAG